This 1393-nucleotide ribosomal RNA is filed under the name metagenome. RNAcentral's name for it is "bacterial SSU rRNA". It matches the Rfam family "Bacterial small subunit ribosomal RNA". The record is from RNAcentral.
AGAGUUUGAUCCUGGCUCAGAUUGAACGCUGGCGGCGUGCUUAACACAUGCAAGUCGAGCGGUAGCAGGCGUAGCAAUACGUGCUGACGAGCGGCGAACGGGUGAGUAAUGCUUCGGAAUCUUCCUAGUAGUGGGGAACAACCUGGGGAAACUCAGGCUAAUACCGCAUACGACCUACGGGUGAAAGCAGGGGAUCGCAAGACCUUGCGCUAUUAGAUGAGCCGAAGUCGGAUUAGCUAGUUGGUGAGGUAAAGGCUCACCAAGGCGACGAUCCGUAGCUGGUCUGAGAGGACGACCAGCCACACUGGGACUGAGACACGGCCCAGACUCCUACGGGAGGCAGCAGUGGGGAAUAUUGGACAAUGGGGGCAACCCUGAUCCAGCGACGCCGCGUGUGUGAAGAAGGCCUGCGGGUUGUAAAGCACUUUUAGUGGGGACAAAAAGCCAUGGGUUAACACCCUGUGGUCUUGAUUUAACCCAAAGAAAAAGCACCGGCUAACUCUGUGCCAGCAGCCGCGGUAAUACAGAUGGUGCAAGCGUUAAUCGGAAUUACUGGGCGUAAAGCGUGCGUAGUCGGUUAUCUAAGUCGGAUGUGAAAUCCCCGGGCUCAACCUGGGAAUUGCAUUCGAUACUGGAUAGCUAGAGUUCGGCAGAGGGAAGCGGAAUUUCGGGUGUAGCGGUGAAAUGCGUAGAUAUCCCAAGGAACAUCAGUGGCGAAAGCGGCUUCCUGGACCAGAACUGACGAUCAGGCACGAAAGCGUGGGGAGCAAACAGGAUUAGAUACCCUGGUAGUCCACGCCAUAAACGAUGACAACUAGACGUUGGGAGGGUAAGCCUCACAGUGUCGCAGCUAACGCGUUAAGUUGUCCGCCUGGGGAGUACGGCCGCAAGGUUGGAACUCAAAGGAAUUGACGGGGACCCGCACAAGCGGUGGAGCAUGUGGUUUAAUUCGAUGCAACGCGAAGAACCUUACCUGGUCUUGACAUGUCUGGAAUCCCGAAGAGAUUUGGGAGUGCCGCAAGGAACCAGAACACAGGUGCUGCAUGGCUGUCGUCAGCUCGUGUCGUGAGAUGUUGGGUUAAGUCCCGCAACGAGCGCAACCCUUGUCCUUAGUUGCCAUCAUUAAGUUGGGAACUCUAAGGAGACCGCCGGUGACAAACCGGAGGAAGGUGGGGAUGACGUCAAGUCAUCAUGGCCUUUAUGACCAGGGCUACACACGUGCUACAAUGGCAGGUACAGAGGGAAGCCAACCCGCGAGGGGGAGCUAAUCCCAGAAAACCUGUCUUAGUCCGGAUUGGAGUCUGCAACUCGACUCCAUGAAGUUGGAAUCGCUAGUAAUCGCAGAUCAGCAUUGCUGCGGUGAAUACGUUCCCGGGUCUUGUACACACCGCCC